AUACGGAGGAUCCGAGCGUUAUCCGGAUUUAUUGGGUUUAAAGGGAGCGUAGGUGGAUUGUUAAGUCAGUUGUGAAAGUUUGCGGCUCAACCGUAAAAUUGCAGUUGAAACUGGUCCCCUUGAGUGCGUAAGGGGCAGGCGGAAUUCGUCGUGUAGCGGUGAAAUGCUUAGAUAUGACGAAGAACUCCGAUCGCGAAGGCAGCUGGCCGGGCCGCAACUGACGCUGAAGCUCGAAGGUGCGGGUAUCGAACAGGAUUAGAUACCCUGGUAGUCCGCACAGUAAACGAUGGAUACUCGCUGUCGGCGAUAUACGGUCGGUGGCCAAGCGAAAGCGUUAAGUAUCCCACCUGGGGAGUACGCCGGCAACGGUGAAACUCAAAGGAAUUGGCGGGG
RNAcentral lists this ribosomal RNA (393 nucleotides) under uncultured bacterium. RNAcentral's name for it is "partial 16S ribosomal RNA". It matches the Rfam family "Bacterial small subunit ribosomal RNA", at positions 523 to 918 of the family's 1533-position model. The record is from RNAcentral.